This 1343-nucleotide ribosomal RNA is filed under the name uncultured bacterium. RNAcentral describes it as "16S ribosomal RNA". It matches the Rfam family "Bacterial small subunit ribosomal RNA", at positions 28 to 1378 of the family's 1533-position model. The record is from RNAcentral.
GACGAACGCUGUCGGCGUGCUUAACACAUGCAAGUCGAACGGAAAGGCCCUGCUUUUGUGGGGUGCUCGAGUGGCGAACGGGUGAGUAACACGUGAGUAACCUGCCCUUGACUUUGGGAUAACUUCAGGAAACUGGGGCUAAUACCGGAUAGGAGCUCCUGCUGCAUGGUGGGGGUUGGAAAGUUUCGGCGGUUGGGGAUGGACUCGCGGCUUAUCAGCUUGUUGGUGGGGUAGUGGCUUACCAAGGCUUUGACGGGUAGCCGGCCUGAGAGGGUGACCGGCCACAUUGGGACUGAGAUACGGCCCAGACUCCUACGGGAGGCAGCAGUGGGGAAUAUUGCACAAUGGGCGGAAGCCUGAUGCAGCAACGCCGCGUGCGGGAUGACGGCCUUCGGGUUGUAAACCGCUUUCGCCUGUGACGAAGCGUGAGUGACGGUAAUGGGUAAAGAAGCACCGGCUAAUUACGUGCCAGCAGCCGCGGUGAUACGUAGGGUGCGAGCGUUGUCCGGAUUUAUUGGGCGUAAAGGGCUCGUAGGUGGUUGAUCGCGUCGGAAGUGUAAUCUUGGGGCUUAACCCUGAGCGUGCUUUCGAUACGGGUUGACUUGAGGAAGGUAGGGGAGAAUGGAAUUCCUGGUGGAGCGGUGGAAUGCGCAGAUAUCAGGAGGAACACCAGUGGCGAAGGCGGUUCUCUGGGCCUUUCCUGACGCUGAGGAGCGAAAGCGUGGGGAGCGAACAGGCUUAGAUACCCUGGUAGUCCACGCUGUAAACGGUGGGUACUAGGUGUGGGGUCCAUUCCACGGGUUCCGUGCCGUAGCUAACGCUUUAAGUACCCCGCCUGGGGAGUACGGCCGCAAGGCUAAAACUCAAAGGAAUUGACGGGGCCCCGCACAAGCGGCGGAGCAUGCGGAUUAAUUCGAUGCAACGCGUAGAACCUUACCUGGGUUUGACAUGGAUCGGGAGUGCUCAGAGAUGGGUGUGCCUCUUUUGGGGUCGGUUCACAGGUGGUGCAUGGCUGUCGUCAGCUCGUGUCGUGAGAUGUUGGGUUAAGUCCCGCAACGAGCGCAACCCUUGUUCACUGUUGCCAGCACGUUAUGGUGGGGACUCAGUGGAGACCGCCGGGGUCAACUCGGAGGAAGGUGGGGAUGACGUCAAGUCAUCAUGCCCCUUAUGUCCAGGGCUUCACGCAUGCUACAAUGGCUGGUACAGAGAGUGGCGAGCCUGUGAGGGUGAGCGAAUCUCGGAAAGCCGGUCUCAGUUCGGAUUGGGGUCUGCAACUCGACCUCAUGAAGUCGGAGUCGCUAGUAAUCGCAGAUCAGCAACGCUGCGGUGAAUACGUUCCCGGG